RNAcentral lists this ribosomal RNA (1354 nucleotides) under uncultured bacterium. RNAcentral describes it as "16S ribosomal RNA". It matches the Rfam family "Bacterial small subunit ribosomal RNA", at positions 93 to 1423 of the family's 1533-position model. The record is from RNAcentral.
UAKUGGCGGAVKGGBGAGUAACGCGUGGGUAACCUACCCUUUUGUGGGGAACAACUUCGAGAAAUCGGAGCUAAUACCGCAUAAUAAUAGAGGAUCGCAUGAUUCUUUAAGGAAAGAUGGCCUCUGAAGAUGCUAUCGCAAAAGGAUGGACCCGCGUCUGAUUAGCUAGUUGGAAGGGUAACGGCCUACCAAGGCAACGAUCAGUAGCCGGCCUGAGAGGGUGAACGGCCACAUUGGGACUGAGACACGGCCCAAACUCCUACGGGAGGCAGCAGUGGGGAAUCUUCCGCAAUGGGCGAAAGCCUGACGGAGCAAUGCCGCGUGAGUGAAGAAGGCCUUCGGGUUGUAAAACUCUGUCCUUAUCGAAGCGAGGUAGGUAUGUGAAUAAUGUACCUAUAGGACGGUAGAUAAGGAGGAAGCCCCGGCUAACUACGUGCCAGCAGCCGCGGUAAUACGUGGGGGGCGAGCGUUGUCCGGAAUCACUGGGCGUAAAGGGCGCGUAGGCGGUUUAAUAAGUCAGUGGUGAAAACUGAGGGCUCAACCCUCAGCCUGCCACUGAUACUGUUAGACUUGAGUAUGGAAGAGGAGAAUGGAAUUCCUAGUGUAGCGGUGAAAUGCGUAGAUAUUAGGAGGAACACCAGUGGCGAAGGCGAUUCUCUGGGCCAAGACUGACGCUGAGGCGCGAAAGCGUGGGGAGCAAACAGGAUUAGAUACCCAGGUAGUCCACGCCGUAAACGAUGGAUACUAGGUGUUAGUAGUUUCGAUGCUACUAGUGCCGGAGUAAACACAAUAAGUAUCCCGCCUGGGGAGUACGGUCGCAAGACUGAAACUCAAAGGAAUUGACGGGGGCCCGCACAAGCGGUGGAGCAUGUGGUUUAAUUCGACGCAACGCGAAGAACCUUACCAAGACUUGACAUCCUCCUGACAAGAUAUGUAAUGUAUCUCUUUUCUUCGGAGACAGGAGAGACAGGUGGUGCAUGGUUGUCGUCAGCUCGUGUCGUGAGAUGUUGGGUUAAGUCCCGCAACGAGCGCAACCCUUAUUUCUAGUUGCCAGCAGUAAGAUGGGGACUCUAGAGAGACUGCCAGUGACAAACUGGAGGAAGGUGGGGAUGACGUCAAAUCAUCAUGCCCCUUAUGUCUUGGGCUACACACGUGCUACAAUGGUCAGAACAGAGGGAAGCGAAGCCGCGAGGUGGAGCAAAUCCCAGAAAACUGAUCUCAGUUCGGAUUGCAGGCUGCAACCCGCCUGCAUGAAGUCGGAAUCGCUAGUAAUCGCGGGUCAGCAUACCGCGGUGAAUACGUUCCCGVRUKUUGUACACACCGCCCGUCACACCACGAAAGUUAGUAACACCCG